UGGUGGAGUGAUUUGUCUGCUUAAUUGCGAUAACGAACGAGACCUUAACCUGCUAAAUAGCCAGGCUAGCUUUUGCUGGUCGCCGGCUUCUUAGAGGGACUAUCGGCUCAAGCCGAUGGAAGUUGGAGGCAAUAACA
RNAcentral lists this ribosomal RNA (137 nucleotides) under uncultured eukaryote. Its description in RNAcentral is "partial 18S ribosomal RNA". It matches the Rfam family "Eukaryotic small subunit ribosomal RNA", at positions 1299 to 1458 of the family's 1831-position model. The record is from RNAcentral.